GGUUGCAAAGGUUACGACCUCUAGUCACAAGACUGAUUUCCAAAUUCGUACUUCCUAGAACAACAGUUCUCAGUAAAACAUCGGAUGAACUGUUCUGUUUUUUACCUUUGUUCUUCGAAGAAAAGCAAGCGUAUGUAGGUCAAUAUAUGAAACAGUUUCUACUGGUUAUGUUACAAGAUGUAACUUAACUUCGAUCGUGAUUGUAUCGUAAAGAAUAUGGCCGAGGGUUACGACACAACUCGCUUUCAUUCAACUAUUGACGAGGGCUUUGUUUGCUGUAUCUGUCUCGGUGUCUUACAAGAUCCAAAGCAAUGUGAGAACAACGAGCACUAUUUCUGUUCUGGUUGUAUCAAGAAACACCUGGAGAAGACCUCCCAUAGUUGUCCUGUCUGUCAAGACAAACUGACGGUAGAGACAUUGCGUAAGGCUCCAAGAAUUGUGGCCGACUGUGUUUCCCGUUACAAGAUCAGUUGUGACCAUGUAGCGAGAGGCUGUGAUGCGGUCCUCGAGCUUGGAGCUCUACAGGCACACGUUCAGGACUGUGAUUUCAUGCCUGUCACUUGCUCAAAUGAAGGUUGUGCCGAAGUCGUGAGCAAACGCGAUGUAAAGCAACACGAGCUUGAUUUAUGUCGCUUCAAGACGACGACCUGUGACGACUGUGGCAAAAAGAUGCCUCAUCAUAAAUAUGGCGCCCAUGGCUGCGUUCUACGACGUGAUGUGGACGAAAUGAAGAAAGAUCUAGCAGAAGUGAAAGCCACGCAACAUGAAAUUAUGACGUGCGUCCAACGGAUGACGAUUGCGGUUGAAAGUCUUCAAAAGUCUGCAAACUCCAAGAGUACUGAUAUUAUUGUCAUCGCAGGUUUCAAUCCCAAAACAAAGAAGGACGUUUCUUCUGUUGAGCGAUUUAACUUGUUCAACCAAACCUGGACACAACUGCCUGCGUUGAAAAUAGCUCGAGAGAGUUCUGGAGCUGUGAUGUUUAAGAAUCAAAUAUUUGUUUGUGGCGGGUUUAACGAGUCUGAUAAACGUCUGGAUAGCAUCGAAGUAUUGGAUCUGAAUGGUAAUCCUCCAGAAUGGCACGAGUUUUUUGUCAAUCUUCCUAUCAAGGUCUAUGGUCACAAGUGCGUCGUCCAUGGGAAUCGUUUGCUGAUUAUUGGUGGCCAAACGAAGCCAGAUGAGAAUUUGGAUACGAUAUACGAGCUUCUCCUUGUUCCUCCGUAUUCAUGCAAGUUGCUUUGUCACAUGAAGAAGAAACGAGCGUGCCAUGGAGUGGAGUUGUUCAAUGAUAAGGUUUUAAUCGCUGGUGGAAAUGGAGCGGAAACCGAUGUGGAAAUAUUCGACAUAGCAAGAAAUGAAUGUGUUGAAAUGCCACCAUUGCCAUCUCCAGUUAUGUAUAUGGGGACAGUUCGCCGUGGUGACACCAUGCUUUUGAUUGGAGGCAAGGAGAAUAACGACGCAGAUAAAUUCAGCAAUAAGAUUAUCGAGUACGAUUUCAAAACUGGCCAGAGUAAGGUCCUAUUGGCCAUGAAAACGGGACGAGCUGGUUGUUCGUGUAUUUCUCGUGGAAACACGCUUAUUGUAAUUGGUGAUGCGCAGAACGAAUUUGCUGCAGUGGAUUGUUUCGACUUUUUAUCAAAUUCUUGGAAGAGAUUGGCCUCAAUGGCUGAGGCAAGGGCUUUAGCUUCUGUAGUUGUUGUGAAUAUGGAAAAUUUGGAAUUUUGACAGUUGUUAACGAAUACCGACAUCUAUCUAAUUUUAUACAUCCUUUUAAAACAGAUGGAACUAAUAUAGACGAAGACUGUAAGAACAGCCUUGGAACAAUAGUUAUUGCUUAACUUUGUUAAAGAGGCCUAGCUUUUUGUCAAUGUUAUGUAUCCAAGUGAUUUUGUAAAUAAAAUGCUCAGCAA
Molecule: long non-coding RNA, 1907 nt
Filed under: Paramuricea clavata
Lineage: Eukaryota; Metazoa; Cnidaria; Anthozoa; Malacalcyonacea; Plexauridae
Source: RNAcentral